UUGAGUGUAGAGAUUGGUUAGGAAAUAAUUUUGUGCGACAAAAUUUAGUAGAGGGGUGUUGGCAUUCGGUAUUAAAAAAAAAGGUGGGGGGGUUUCUUCCUUACCGCAUGUCUUAUCUCAAUGCCUUCUUCUCCCUCUUCUUUCCAUCUCCAUGCCCCACAACCUCCAGAUCUGAUAGAGAGAGAGGUUUUAAAGAGAGAAAAGAAGAAAAGAAGAAGAGUUCUUCUUCAUCUUCUUGGUGUCUGAUUCAGAUCCCAUC
RNAcentral lists this long non-coding RNA (259 nucleotides) under Elaeis guineensis (African oil palm). RNAcentral describes it as "long non-coding RNA (EGUI_LNC047033)". Lineage: Eukaryota; Viridiplantae; Streptophyta; Magnoliopsida; Arecales; Arecaceae. The record is from RNAcentral.